GUCUUUCUAGAAACACUUUCCAGUACCUCUACUUUGUUACGACUUAUUUCAAUUUAUGAAUGAAAGCGACGGGCAAUAUGUACAUAUCUUAAUUUUUAAUCAUUUUAAUAAAUUAAAUAAAAUUACAUUUAAAUCCACUUUCAAUUUAAUCUUUCAAUUAAAAAUUCAUUUAAAUAAAUUUAUUGUAAUCCAUUAUAUUCUUAAUUAUAAUCUGCAUCUUGAUCUGAUUUAAUUUUUAUUUUAAAUUUUUAAAUAUUAAAUUUCUUAAAAAAUAUUUUUUUAACAACGAUAUACAAAAUUUUUAAUUAAGUAAAAUUAUUCGUGGAUUAUCAAUUAAUAAACAGAUUCCUCUAAAUGAACUAAAAUACCGCCAAAUUAUUUAAGUUUCAAUAAAUAAUUAUAUACUAUUUUAAUAUUUAAAUUUAAAUUUUUAAUAAUAGGGUAUCUAAUCCUAGUCUAUAAUAAAAUUUAUUAAUUCAUAAUUAUUAAAUAAUUUUUAAUUAAAUUAAAAUUUCACCUAAUAAUUUAAUAUUUAAAUUAAUAAAAAUGUAUUCAUUAAUAUCUAAUAAAAUUCAAUUUAAUUUUUGUAUAACCGCAACUGCUGGCACAAAAUUUGUUAUUAAUUUCAAUAUUACUAAAUCUUAAUUUCUUAAAUUUUUAAUAUUAAUUACUACAUAAAAAUUUAAUUAUUAUUAAAAUAAUUAAAAUAAUAUACUAAAAUUUAUAUGUAAAAUAAAUUUAAAAAAAAUUCCAAAAAUCAUAAAAAAUUUAUUUAUAA
RNAcentral lists this ribosomal RNA (778 nucleotides) under Retinia pseudotsugaicola. RNAcentral describes it as "12S ribosomal RNA". The record is from RNAcentral. Lineage: Eukaryota; Metazoa; Arthropoda; Insecta; Lepidoptera; Tortricidae.